RNAcentral lists this ribozyme (68 nucleotides) under unclassified sequences. Its description in RNAcentral is "pistol ribozyme". It matches the Rfam family "Pistol ribozyme". The record is from RNAcentral.
ACACGUUGCAACGUGUAUAAAUAGCCCUUUAGGUUGCAAGCGUCCAUCCCUUCGGGGAUGGGGUAGGG